AUUGAACGCUGGCGGAGUGCUUUGCACAUGCAAGUCGAACGGCUGCACGGACUUCGGUCUGGUGGCGAGUUGCGAAAGGGUGGGUAAUACAUCGGAACGCACCCAGUCGUGGUGGAGAACGUAGCGAAAGUUAGGCUAAAUCCGCAUACGAUCCAUGGUUGAAGUCGGAGGAUCGCAGGACUACGGGCGAGUGCAGCGGCCGAUGGCAGAUUAGGUAGUUGGUAGGGUAACGGCCUACCAAGGCGACGAUCUGUAGCUGGUGGGAGAGGAUGAUCAGCCACACUGGGACUGAGACACGGCCCAGACUCCGACGGGAGGAAGCAGUGGGGAAUAUUGGACAAUGGGCGAAAGCCUGAUCCAGCCAUGCCGCGUGUGUGAAGAAGGUCUUCGGAUUGUAAAGCACUUUAAGUUGUGAGGAAGGGCAGUAAGCUAAUAACGUGCUGUUUUGACGUUACCGACAGAAUAAGCACCGGCUAACUCUGUGCCAGCAGCCGCAGUAA
Molecule: ribosomal RNA, 500 nt
Filed under: uncultured bacterium
Lineage: Bacteria
Description: partial 16S ribosomal RNA
Rfam family: Bacterial small subunit ribosomal RNA
Source: RNAcentral